CAGCCGCCACGGGAACACGUAGGGUGCGAGCGUUAAUCGGAAUUACUGGGCGUAAAGCGUGCGCAGGCGGUUGUGUAAGACAGGUGUGAAAUCCCCGGGCUUAACCUGGGAACUGCGCUUGUGACUGCACAGCUAGAGUAUGGCAGAGGGGGGUGGAAUUCCACGUGUAGCAGUGAAAUGCGUAGAGAUGUGGAGGAACACCGAUGGCGAAGGCAGCCCCCUGGGCCAAUACUGACGCUCAUGCACGAAAGCGUGGGGAGCAAACAGGAUUAGAUACCCCCGUAGUCCCUGUCUCUUAUAC
This 301-nucleotide ribosomal RNA is filed under the name uncultured bacterium. RNAcentral's name for it is "partial 16S ribosomal RNA". It matches the Rfam family "Bacterial small subunit ribosomal RNA", at positions 509 to 807 of the family's 1533-position model. The record is from RNAcentral.